RNAcentral lists this long non-coding RNA (376 nucleotides) under Homo sapiens (human). Its description in RNAcentral is "non-protein coding lnc-SLC17A9-1:3". The record is from RNAcentral. Lineage: Eukaryota; Metazoa; Chordata; Mammalia; Primates; Hominidae.
UGGGCACCGGAUCUUCUCAGGACUGGUGGGUGUGCCUCAGGGGCCUGAUGGCCUGAUGGACGGAGGGCAAGAACCCUUCCACCAUCCGCUCCGUCCCCAGCCUGGGGCACCACGGCGCGUCCUUCCCCCGGGUGCGCAGCGUGUCCUGCCUCCCCCUUAAAGGACAAGGAGAGAGCAGACCCAGGAGCCCCAGUGGCAGAAGGGGCCCGGCAGGGAGUGCUGGGCAGGGAGCGCCCAUGUGCCCACCCGAGUGCCAGUGCCAGCCAGCUGCUGCCCGGAGAGCCCCGGCCCUCUGUAGCUAUCUGGCCUCUGCUCAUGGCUGUUGCUCAGAGAGAAUCUGACCAGCACUGACUUCACCUCCGCCCACCCCCUGAGG